Acyrthosiphon pisum (pea aphid) is the source of this 163-nucleotide non-coding RNA. The record is from Rfam. Lineage: Eukaryota; Metazoa; Arthropoda; Insecta; Hemiptera; Aphididae.
AUACUUACCUGGCGUGGAGGUCAACCGUGAUCACAUAGGCGGUUCCUCCAGGGCGAGGCCGGUUCAUUGCACAUGGAAUCGGUUGACCCCUGCGAGUAUCCCUAAUGUGGAUACCUCGGGCGCAGAAUUUUUGUUAGCUGGGACUGCGUACGCGCCGUCCCUC